UUAGAGUUUUGGAUCUGGCUCAGGACGAACGCUGGCGGCGUGCUUAACACAUGCAAGUCGAACGAUGAAGCCCUUCGGGGUGGAUUAGUGGCGAACGGGUGAGUAACACGUGGGCAAUCUGCCCUUCACUCUGGGACAAGCCCUGGAAACGGGGUCUAAUACCGGAUAACACUCUGUCCCGCAUGGGACGGGGUUAAAAGCUCCGGCGGUGAAGGAUGAGCCCGCGGCCUAUCAGCUUGUUGGUGGGGUGAUGGCCUACCAAGGCGACGACGGGUAGCCGGCCUGAGAGGGCGACCGGCCACACUGGGACUGAGACACGGCCCAGACUCCUACGGGAGGCAGCAGUGGGGAAUAUUGCACAAUGGGCGAAAGCCUGAUGCAGCGACGCCGCGUGAGGGAUGACGGCCUUCGGGUUGUAAACCUCUUUCAGCAGGGAAGAAGCGAAAGGAC
This 450-nucleotide ribosomal RNA is filed under the name Streptomyces sp. 2BG3. RNAcentral's name for it is "bacterial SSU rRNA". It matches the Rfam family "Bacterial small subunit ribosomal RNA", at positions 1 to 459 of the family's 1533-position model. Lineage: Bacteria; Bacillati; Actinomycetota; Actinomycetes; Kitasatosporales; Streptomycetaceae. The record is from RNAcentral.